This 509-nucleotide ribosomal RNA is filed under the name Bacillus sp. (in: firmicutes). RNAcentral describes it as "bacterial SSU rRNA". It matches the Rfam family "Bacterial small subunit ribosomal RNA", at positions 21 to 511 of the family's 1533-position model. Lineage: Bacteria; Bacillati; Bacillota; Bacilli; Caryophanales; Bacillaceae. The record is from RNAcentral.
GGCUCAGGAUGAACGCUGGCGGCGUGCCUAAUACAUGCAAGUCGAGCGAACUGAUUAGAAGCUUGCUUCUAUGACGUUAGCGGCGGACGGGUGAGUAACACGUGGGCAACCUGCCUGUAAGACUGGGAUAACUUCGGGAAACCGAAGCUAAUACCGGAUAGGAUCUUCUCCUUCAUGGGAGAUGAUUGAAAGAUGGUUUCGGCUAUCACUUACAGAUGGGCCCGCGGUGCAUUAGCUAGUUGGUGAGGUAACGGCUCACCAAGGCAACGAUGCAUAGCCGACCUGAGAGGGUGAUCGGCCACACUGGGACUGAGACACGGCCCAGACUCCUACGGGAGGCAGCAGUAGGGAAUCUUCCGCAAUGGACGAAAGUCUGACGGAGCAACGCCGCGUGAGUGAUGAAGGCUUUCGGGUCGUAAAACUCUGUUGUUAGGGAAGAACAAGUACGAGAGUAACUGCUCGUACCUUGACGGUACCUAACCAGAAAGCCACGGCUAACUACGUGCCAG